CUUGACCUGAGAGUCGAAGCCAGAGGAAGAUUUUGAUGUUAUUUAGGGGUCUGAUUUAUUGUACACACUUAACAUUAACCUUCCAUGACGUACACGUAAAAAUAAUGUGAACGUCCGGUUAUUUAGUUUUGAUUUGACAGCUGUAACGAGGAUCUGGAAUUUCACAUCUGCACUCUAGCUGCUGUUGUGUUUAUCUGUAUUUGUUGCUAGGGUGGAACAGAAAGAGGAUGUUAUUAUCAUACUACAAGAUGAAUCUAUUCUCUCUCCUAUAUGAUACAUUCUGCACAUGGACAUCAUACUAGCCUCACCCAAAACCAGCCAGUGGUAUAAAAUGAUUCAAAGGGGGAAAUCUGCACUGUUGGAGAUAUGUAUGUAUUCACAGUGAAUGUAAGUGAGUUUGCACCAGAAGAAGUCACUGUAACCUCCACCAAUAAUUCAAUCCAAGUAUGUGCAGAAAAGCUGGCAUCAGAUGGCACAAUUGUGGACACUGUUUGUCAGAAGUGCCAGUUCCCUGCUGAUGUGGAUCCAAUGUCGGUCACAUCUUCUCUAGAGAAAGGUGGCUUGUUGAGUAUAAAAGCCCAAAAACUAACAGUAAAAGGGUCUGCAAUCAUAGAUUCAAUCUAAGAAGUGAAAACCUAAUGUAUGUAUGUAUGAGCAUUUUGGAAACAAUCUGUUUUCUCAUUAUUGUACUCUAAAUGUCAUCCUUUGGAUUAUUAAACAAAAACAAAUGUUACAAUUUGUAUUUGCAUGUUAAUAAGGUUUUUGACUUCGAAAUAAAUGAGGUUCAUGAGUAUAUGCAUAUAAAAAUGUUUUUGUUGCAACUGUCUUCAAAGUACAAGCAAACUCAUUUCAUGACAUUUUUAUAUUUUUGUUCACCAUUUC
RNA transcript from Cyprinus carpio (common carp), 882 nucleotides. It is a transcript of the gene named heat shock protein beta-7-like, with no coding region annotated. The transcript has 5 exons. The record is from RefSeq and is a predicted model, not a curated record. NCBI's taxonomy places the organism in Eukaryota, Metazoa, Chordata, Actinopteri, Cypriniformes, Cyprinidae.